This 497-nucleotide ribosomal RNA is filed under the name uncultured bacterium. RNAcentral's name for it is "partial 16S ribosomal RNA". It matches the Rfam family "Bacterial small subunit ribosomal RNA", at positions 28 to 507 of the family's 1533-position model. The record is from RNAcentral.
GAUGAACGCUGGCGGCGUGCCUAAUACAUGCAAGUCGAGCGAACAGACGAGGAGCUUGCUCCUCUGACGUUAGCGGCGGACGGGUGAGUAACACGUGGAUAACCUACCUAUAAGACUGGGAUAACUUCGGGAAACCGGAGCUAAUACCGGAUAAUAUAUUGAACCGCAUGGUUCAAUAGUGAAAGACGGUUUUGCUUUCACUUAUAGAUGGAUCCGCGCCGCAUUAGCUAGUUGGUAGGGAAAAGGCUUACCAAGGCGACGAUGGUUAGCCGACCUGAAGGCGACGUCGGACACACGGGAAGUGAGACACGGUCCAGACACCUACGGUGGGAAGCAGUAGGGAAUCUUCCGCAAUGGGGGAAAGCCUGACGUAGCAACGCCGCGUGAGUGAUGAAGGUCUUCGGAUGGGAAAGCUCUGUUAUUAGGAAAGAAGAAAUGUGUAAGUAACUGUGAACGUCUUGACGGUACCGAAUCAGAAAGCCACGGCUAACUACGUG